GCAAGGUCUUCCAUAAAUCGCAGAAGCUGAUAUCAAGAGAUGUUUAAAGAUCAAAGCUGUUUCUCCAGAGAGUGAAUACAGCCCAUAGAGAAACUGUGGAGUCCCAGAAGAGAAGAAAUAAAAUUGCCAACAGAAGAGAAGAAAAUAUUGGUAAACUUAGUGAUUACCGAGUUACACAGGACUCAAUAACUCAAAAGGCUCCCCACUCUGAUCCCCCAAACUGCAUGAGAAAAAGUUGUUUUUACAUGGAGAAAGGAGAGCUGGAUGUUGUGCUUUAAUUUAGACUUUCAUCUUUUGGUUCAGGUGGAUUUUGUAAUCUUACGUGACAACUAAAUCAAGGUUUCAAGAGAAAUGGAAGAACUAUUUCCCAAGUUAAUAAGGUUAAUUGGCACUAAAAGAAAUGAUCAUCAAGCUUGGAAUGUCAUAACAGGGAUGUCCUCAGACUGUGAAGAACCUGUCCAAGGGAAGGAGCUAGGUAAGUGACAAAGGAGAAAUACAUUUCCUAUCCUCAGCCAUUUGUGCCUUUCCUAAGCAAAAAAGAGAGACAAGAAAGUAGUUCUCAUAAUUCAGAAGCUUUGUGCAGUAUGAACCACUAGAGCAUUAAAAACCACAGUGAAGAUCCAUAGGGCAACUGGAGAUAAUUGAAGGAACUAAUUUACUCAGGCCAACCAAGGUAUCACUUAGUAACCAACAGUUUCCUCCUUCAUUUGUGAAAUGCACUGUUUUAAUAUACCAUGCUUUAGUUUUAAAAAUCUGGUGUUUGAUCAUUUCUGCUGCUAGGCUGAAGCUGAUGGGAAAAUUAUGUUUUUAUUUGUGAGCUAAAAUGAAUUAGUUUGAUCGUAAAGCGUCACGUGCUCUGGAGAUGUGGGAGAGCACAUGGACAUGGUUCAUUUAAUGCUGUUGCCUGAGCUCUAGUGCCAGUAAGACGGUAGUCUUUACCCUAGGGCUGAGUAGCCGUGGGAUCAGGAGCAAUGGGAUUUUCAGAUAUGGCUAAUCCUGUUUACUCUUGUUGUUACAAUACAAGAACACAGCAGUAAGAUUU
This 1042-nucleotide long non-coding RNA is filed under the name Anser brachyrhynchus (Pink-footed goose). RNAcentral's name for it is "lncRNA (ENSABRG00000004710.1)". The record is from RNAcentral. Lineage: Eukaryota; Metazoa; Chordata; Aves; Anseriformes; Anatidae.